This 420-nucleotide ribosomal RNA is filed under the name uncultured bacterium. RNAcentral's name for it is "bacterial SSU rRNA". It matches the Rfam family "Bacterial small subunit ribosomal RNA", at positions 355 to 774 of the family's 1533-position model. The record is from RNAcentral.
UAAGGAAUAUUGCUCAAUGGGAGAAAUCCUGAAGCAGCAACGCCGCGUGGAGGAUGAAGGGUCUAUGACUUGUAAACUCCUGUAAAGAAGGAAAAAAUUCCCAUUAGAUGGGAGAUGAUGGUACUUCUGGAGUAAGCCCCGGCUAACUACGUGCCAGCAGCCGCGGUAAUACGUAGGGGGCAAGCGUUGUCCGGAUUUACUGGGUGUAAAGGGUGCUCAGGCGGAUUUGUAAGUCAGAGGUGAAAUCUUACAGCUUAACUGUGAAACUGCCUUUGAUACUGCAAGCCUAGAGUAUGGAAGAGAGUGAUGGAAUAUCUGGUGUAGCAGUGAAAUGCGUAGAUAUCAGAUAGAACACCAAUGGCGGAGGCAGUCACUUGGUCCAUUACUGACGCUAAAGCACGAAAGCGUGGGUAGCAAACA